ACGUAGGAGCCAAGCGUUAUCCGAAUUCACUGGGCGUAAAGCGCGUGCAGGCGGUAUGGCAAGUUGGAUGUGAAAUCUCCCGGCUCAACUGGGAGAGGCCGUUCAAUACUGCCAAACUAGAGGGCGACAGAGGGAGGUGGAAUUCCGGGUGUAGUUGUGAAGUGCGUAGAUAUCCGGAGGAACACCAGAGGCGAAGGCGACCUCCUGGGUCGCACCUGACGCUCAGACGCGAAAGCUAGGGGAGCAAACGGGA
Molecule: ribosomal RNA, 253 nt
Filed under: uncultured prokaryote
Description: partial 16S ribosomal RNA
Rfam family: Bacterial small subunit ribosomal RNA
Source: RNAcentral